RNAcentral lists this microRNA precursor (106 nucleotides) under Cephalotus follicularis. Lineage: Eukaryota; Viridiplantae; Streptophyta; Magnoliopsida; Oxalidales; Cephalotaceae. The record is from RNAcentral.
AGAGUGGGUUUGAGCCAAGGAUGACUUGCCGGCAUGCAACUGCAGACAAGCAGCGUGCCGUAACUGGAUCUUCCGGUAAGUCAUCUUUGGUUCUAAUUCGCUCUCU